RNAcentral lists this ribosomal RNA (439 nucleotides) under uncultured bacterium. RNAcentral's name for it is "bacterial SSU rRNA". It matches the Rfam family "Bacterial small subunit ribosomal RNA", at positions 340 to 773 of the family's 1533-position model. The record is from RNAcentral.
UACGGGAGGCAGCAGUGGGGAAUAUUGCACAAUGGGCGCAAGCCUGAUGCAGCCAUGCCGCGUGUAUGAAGAAGGCCUUCGGGUUGUAAAGUACUUUCAGUCGUGAGGAAGGUGUUAAGGUUAAUAACCUUAGCAAUUGACGUUAGCGACAGAAGAAGCACCGGCUAACUCCGUGCCAGCAGCCGCGGUAAUACGGAGGGUGCGAGCGUUAAUCGGAAUUACUGGGCGUAAAGGGCACGCAGGCGGUUAAUUAAGUUGGAUGUGAAAUCCCCGGGCUUAACCUGGGAAUGGCAUUCAAGACUGGUUAGCUAGAGUCUUGUAGAGGGGGUAGAAUUCCAUGUGUAGCGGUGAAAUGCGUAGAGAUGUGGAGGAAUACCGGUGGCGAAGGCGGCCCCCUGGACAAAGACUGACGCUCAUGUGCGAAAGCUGGGGAGCAAAC